GGGGUGUGCAUCGGUCGGUUCGGUUCGGUAUCGAAUCGAAUCGGCUAAAACCGAUUUAACCGAAUUUAUUUAAAUUGCAGACCGAACCGAACCGAAUAAGAUAGAAAACCGAAUCGAACCGAAUCGAAUUAGUUCGGUUCGGUUCGGUUCGAAAUCGGUUUUUAAGCUUUUCUCUAAUUAAACUACAAAAAUAAUUAUAAUUUACCACAUUGUAAGCGUAGAUGCAAGCCGCGAUGGUAAGCGGAG
Molecule: long non-coding RNA, 246 nt
Filed under: Manihot esculenta (cassava)
Lineage: Eukaryota; Viridiplantae; Streptophyta; Magnoliopsida; Malpighiales; Euphorbiaceae
Description: long non-coding RNA (MESC_LNC008647)
Source: RNAcentral